This 361-nucleotide long non-coding RNA is filed under the name Falco tinnunculus (common kestrel). Its description in RNAcentral is "lncRNA (ENSFTIG00000003429.1)". The record is from RNAcentral. Lineage: Eukaryota; Metazoa; Chordata; Aves; Falconiformes; Falconidae.
AUGGGGGCAUGUGCAUAAGGAAAACCUAAAGGAAUAUACAAGAAUGGACAAGGUGUGAUGCAGCAGACCUUCCAAGAGCUGUGGUACUAUUUUCUGGCCUGAGAUAAUUCCAACAUCAUUCUGCAGUCGGGAGCAGUGCUGCCAGCAAAACAAGGAAGAAAAUGCUACCUAUACUUAGGAUUUUGGUGUUGGGUACAGGCUGUUAAGGGGAAUAAGAGAGAGUGCAACCACUUAGUCAUUAGCACCAUCCGCAGGCAAUGGAGCAGCCAGAAUGUGUCAGUCUUCAGUUCUACCAGCCCUUUCCAUGUGAGUCCUACUGGGAAAGAAGGGCUUUACGUGGCUAAAGAUUAAGGUAAUGAUC